GCCGCGGUAUAGCUCAACUGGUAGAGCAUCGCACGCGUAAUGCGAAGGAUGUGGGAUCGUUCCCCACCUGCGGCA
Molecule: non-coding RNA, 75 nt
Organism: Dermacentor albipictus
Lineage: Eukaryota; Metazoa; Arthropoda; Arachnida; Ixodida; Ixodidae
Source: the annotation of a RefSeq genome assembly